AGUUGCGAACGGGUGAGUAACGCGUGAGGAACCUGCCUCAAAGAGGGGGACAACAGUUGGAAACGACUGCUAAUACCGCAUAAGCCCACGGGUCGGCAUCGACCUGAGGGAAAAGGAGCAAUCCGCUUUGAGAUGGCCUCGCGUCCGAUUAGCUAGUUGGUGAGGUAACGGCCCACCAAGGCGACGAUCGGUAGCCGGACUGAGAGGUUGAACGGCCACAUUGGGACUGAGACACGGCCCAA
This 242-nucleotide ribosomal RNA is filed under the name uncultured bacterium. RNAcentral's name for it is "partial 16S ribosomal RNA". It matches the Rfam family "Bacterial small subunit ribosomal RNA", at positions 94 to 334 of the family's 1533-position model. The record is from RNAcentral.